AAUCAACGCUGGCGGCGUGCCUCAGACAUGCAAGUCGAACGCGAAAGUUUCCUUCGGGAGAUGAGUAGAGUGGCGCACGGGUGAGUAACACGUGAGUAAUUUACCUUCGGUGGGGAAUACUAACCGGAAACGGUUGUUAAUACCGCAUAAUGCAGCGGCAUCAAUGAUGACAGUUGUUAAAGCGGGGGAUUGGAGCAAUCCGACCUCGCGCCUGAAGAGAAGCUCGCGGCAGAUUAGCUAGUUGGUAAGGUAAUGGCUUACCAAGGCGACGAUCUGUAACCGGCCUGAGGAGGGCGGGUCGGUCACACU
This 309-nucleotide ribosomal RNA is filed under the name uncultured bacterium. RNAcentral's name for it is "bacterial SSU rRNA". It matches the Rfam family "Bacterial small subunit ribosomal RNA", at positions 32 to 314 of the family's 1533-position model. The record is from RNAcentral.